This 468-nucleotide ribosomal RNA is filed under the name uncultured bacterium. RNAcentral's name for it is "partial 16S ribosomal RNA". It matches the Rfam family "Bacterial small subunit ribosomal RNA", at positions 28 to 507 of the family's 1533-position model. The record is from RNAcentral.
GACGAACGCUGGCGGCGUGCUUAACACAUGCAAGUCGAACGGAAAGGCCCUGCUUUUGUGGGUUGCUCGAGUGGCGAACGGGUGAGUAACACGUGAGUAACCUGCCCUUGACUUUGGGAUAACUUCAGGAAACUGGGGCUAAUACCGGAUAGGAGCUCCUGCUGCAUGGUGGGGGUUGGAAAGUUUCGGCGGUUGGGGAUGGACUCGCGGCUUAUCAGCUUGUUGGUGGGGUAGUGGCUUACCAAGGCUUUGACGGGUAGCCGGCCUGAGAGGGUGACCGGCCACCUUGGGACUGCGAUACGGCCCAGACUCCUACGGGAGGCAGCAGGGGGAAAUAUUGCACAACGGGCGGAAGCCUGAUGCAGCAACGCCGCGUGCGGGAUGACGGCCUUCGGGUUGUAAACCGCUUUCGCCGGUGACGAAGCGGGAGUGACGGUAAUGGGUAAAGAAGCACCGGCUAACUACGUG